CUGGCCGUAAACGAUGUAGACUGAGCGUUGGUUGGGUAAAACCAAUCAGUGCUGAAGCAAACGCGAUAAGUCUACCGCCUGGGGAGUACGGUCGCAAGAUUAAAACUCAAAGGAAUUGAC
Molecule: ribosomal RNA, 120 nt
Filed under: uncultured bacterium
Lineage: Bacteria
Description: partial 16S ribosomal RNA
Rfam family: Bacterial small subunit ribosomal RNA
Source: RNAcentral